AUUGAACGCUGGCGGCAGGCCUAACACAUGCAAGUCGAACGGCAGCACAGAAGAGCUUGCUCUUUGGGUGGCGAGUGGCGGACGGGUGAGUAAUGUCUGGGAAACUGCCCGAUGGAGGGGGAUAACUACUGGAAACGGUAGCUAAUACCGCAUAACGUCGCGAGACCAAAGUGGGGGACCUUCGGGCCUCACACCAUCGGAUGUGCCCAGAUGGGAUUAGCUAGUAGGUGGGGUAAUGGCCCACCUAGGCGACGAUCCCUAGCUGGUUUGAGAGGAUGACCAGCCACACUGGAACUGAGACACGGUCCAGACUCCUACGGGAGGCAGCAGUGGGGAAUAUUGCACAAUGGGCGCAAGCCUGAUGCAGCCAUGCCGCGUGUAUGAAGAAGGCCUUCGGGUUGUAAAGUACUUUCAGCGGGGAGGAGGGCGGUGAGGUUAAUAACCUCGCCGAUUGACGUUACCCGCAGAAGAAGCACCGGCUAACUCCGUGCCAGCCGCCGCCGUAA
RNAcentral lists this ribosomal RNA (506 nucleotides) under uncultured bacterium. Its description in RNAcentral is "partial 16S ribosomal RNA". It matches the Rfam family "Bacterial small subunit ribosomal RNA", at positions 29 to 523 of the family's 1533-position model. The record is from RNAcentral.